AGCGCAUGCAUACCGGGCGCCUAGCCGCGGCAGCUUCAGCGAGGGACUGAGCCGCCCAGCCGCGAGGUCCAUAGAGACUUCCUGGGGUGAUGACCUUGAGCAGAGACCAAGAGGAAAUACAGAAGAGAGCUACAAUAUCUGGGGACAAGAGAAGGGGCAGCAAGUGCAAAGGCCCUGAGGCAGGAAGAACUGGGACCCUUUGAAAGACAACAAAGAGACCGAUGUGGGUAGAACCAUGUGAAUAAAGAAAAGGAGAACAAAGGACACAUCAUGUGGGAAUGUGCCCUGGAAAUUCAAGGACAGCCUAAACUGUACAGUGAGACCCUGUCUCAAAGAAAGAAAGCUGUGAAGACACCAAGCCCAUCUUCCUGAAUGGAUGAAAUAAACAGCAACUGGUGGCAAUUACGGACGCAAGACACGGAACAAUUUUGCUUACUUGAGUGACGGACCCUCCAACAGCAGCCACACACGUGUGCCUGGUCAUUGUGCAAGUCAUUAACACAUGCCCUUGUGGUGGUGUUGGGUUUUGUUUUGUUUUGUUGAUGGCAUUAGAGAUGGAAGCCAGGGCCUCACACAUGCUGGACAAGUACUGAGCCACACCGCAGCCCUUCAUUUUGUUUUGUUUUUUCUCUCUCUUUUUUUUUGGUACCAGAGAUCAAACUCAGGUCCUUAUGCCUGCACAGUAGGGGGCAAAACCACUGAGCUAAAUCCCCAGCCCUCUCUCUCUUUUUUUUGAGACAGGGUCUUGCUAUGUAGUCCAGGCAGGCCUGGAACUCACAGCCAUCCUCCUGCCUCAGUGCGGGGAUGACAGGUGUGUGUCACCACACUCAGCUGAAGAUAUCAUUAUUACCCCAUUUUCCAGGUGAGUAAACUGAGGCACAGAG
This 884-nucleotide long non-coding RNA is filed under the name Heterocephalus glaber (naked mole-rat). RNAcentral describes it as "lncRNA (ENSHGLG00000042351.1)". Lineage: Eukaryota; Metazoa; Chordata; Mammalia; Rodentia; Bathyergidae. The record is from RNAcentral.